AGUGAACGCUGGCGGCAUGCCUAACACAUGCAAGUCGAACGGCAGCACAGCAGUAGCAAUACUGUGGGUGGCGAGUGGCGGACGGGUGAGGAACACAUCGGAAUUUGCCCAGUCGUGGGGGAUAACGUAGGGAAACUUACGCUAAUACCGCAUACGACCUUACGGUGAAAGCGGGGGAUCGCAAGACCUCGCGCGGAUGGAUGAGCCGAUGUCGGAUUAGCUAGUUGGUGGGGUAAAGGCCUACCAAGGCGACGAUCCGUAGCUGGUCUGAGAGGAUGAUCAGCCACACUGGGACUGAGACACGGCCCAGACUCCUACGGGAGGCAGCAGUGGGGAAUAUUGGACAAUGGGGGCAACCCUGAUCCAGCAAUGCCGCGUGUGUGAAGAAGGCCUUCGGGUUGUAAAGCACUUUUAUCCGGAACGAAACGUGCGGGGUGAAUAGCCUCGUAAACUGACGGUACCGGAGGAAUAAGCACCGGCUAACUUCGUG
RNAcentral lists this ribosomal RNA (490 nucleotides) under uncultured bacterium. RNAcentral describes it as "bacterial SSU rRNA". It matches the Rfam family "Bacterial small subunit ribosomal RNA", at positions 29 to 507 of the family's 1533-position model. The record is from RNAcentral.